This 426-nucleotide ribosomal RNA is filed under the name uncultured Pedosphaera sp. RNAcentral describes it as "bacterial SSU rRNA". It matches the Rfam family "Bacterial small subunit ribosomal RNA", at positions 355 to 774 of the family's 1533-position model. The record is from RNAcentral. Lineage: Bacteria; Pseudomonadati; Verrucomicrobiota; Pedosphaerae; Pedosphaerales; Pedosphaeraceae.
UCGAGAAUUUUUCUCAAUGGACGAAAGUCUGAAGGAGCGACGCCGCGUGGGGGAUGAAGGGCUUCGGCCCGUAAACCCCUGUCAUUUGUGAACAAACCUCUUCGGUUAACAACCGGAGAGCUGAUAGUAACAGAAGAGGAAGGGACGGCUAACUCUGUGCCAGCAGCCGCGGUAAUACAGAGGUCCCAAGCGUUGUUCGGAUUUACUGGGCGUAAAGGGUGCGUAGGUGGCAGGGUAAGUUUGAUGUGAAAGCUCCGGGCUUAACCCGGAAAUGGCAUUGAAUACUAUCCCGCUAGAGGGUUGGAGGGGAGACUGGAAUUCUCGGUGUAGCAGUGAAAUGCGUAGAUAUCGAGAGGAACACCAGUGGCGAAGGCGAGUCUCUGGACAACUCCUGACACUGAGGCACGAAAGCUAGGGGAGCAAACA